GGGUUGUGAGGUUAAGCGACUAAGCGUACACGGUGGAUGCCCUGGCAGUCAGAGGCGAUGAAGGACGUGCUAAUCUGCGAUAAGCGUCGGUAAGGUGAUAUGAACCGUUAUAACCGGCGAUUUCCGAAUGGGGAAACCCAGUGUGUUUCGACACACUAUCAUUAACUGAAUCCAUAGGUUAAUGAGGCGAACCGGGGGAACUGAAACAUCUAAGUACCCCGAGGAAAAGAAAUCAACCGAGAUUCCCCCAGUAGCGGCGAGCGAACGGGGAGCAGCCCAGAGCCUGAAUCAGUAUGUGUGUUAGUGGAAGCGUCUGGAAAGGCGCGCGAUACAGGGUGACAGCCCCGUACACAAAAAUGCACAUAUUGUGAGCUCGAUGAGUAGGGCGGGACACGUGGUAUCCUGUCUGAAUAUGGGGGGACCAUCCUCCAAGGCUAAAUACUCCUGACUGACCGAUAGUGAACCAGUACCGUGAGGGAAAGGCGAAAAGAACCCCGGCGAGGGGAGUGAAAAAGAACCUGAAACCGUGUACGUACAAGCAGUGGGAGCACGCUUAGGCGUGUGACUGCGUACCUUUUGUAUAAUGGGUCAGCGACUUAUAUUCUGUAGCAAGGUUAACCGAAUAGGGGAGCCGAAGGGAAACCGAGUCUUAACUGGGCGUUAAGUUGCAGGGUAUAGACCCGAAACCCGGUGAUCUAGCCAUGGGCAGGUUGAAGGUUGGGUAACACUAACUGGAGGACCGAACCGACUAAUGUUGAAAAAUUAGCGGAUGACUUGUGGCUGGGGGUGAAAGGCCAAUCAAACCGGGAGAUAGCUGGUUCUCCCCGAAAGCUAUUUAGGUAGCGCCUCGUGAAUUCAUCUCCGGGGGUAGAGCACUGUUUCGGCAAGGGGGUCAUCCCGACUUACCAACCCGAUGCAAACUGCGAAUACCGGAGAAUGUUAUCACGGGAGACACACGGCGGGUGCUAACGUCCGUCGUGAAGAGGGAAACAACCCAGACCGCCAGCUAAGGUCCCAAAGUCAUGGUUAAGUGGGAAACGAUGUGGGAAGGCCCAGACAGCCAGGAUGUUGGCUUAGAAGCAGCCAUCAUUUAAAGAAAGCGUAAUAGCUCACUGGUCGAGUCGGCCUGCGCGGAAGAUGUAACGGGGCUAAACCAUGCACCGAAGCUGCGGCAGCGACGCUUAUGCGUUGUUGGGUAGGGGAGCGUUCUGUAAGCCUGCGAAGGUGUGCUGUGAGGCAUGCUGGAGGUAUCAGAAGUGCGAAUGCUGACAUAAGUAACGAUAAAGCGGGUGAAAAGCCCGCUCGCCGGAAGACCAAGGGUUCCUGUCCAACGUUAAUCGGGGCAGGGUGAGUCGACCCCUAAGGCGAGGCCGAAAGGCGUAGUCGAUGGGAAACAGGUUAAUAUUCCUGUACUUGGUGUUACUGCGAAGGGGGGACGGAGAAGGCUAUGUUGGCCGGGCGACGGUUGUCCCGGUUUAAGCGUGUAGGCUGGUUUUCCAGGCAAAUCCGGAAAAUCAAGGCUGAGGCGUGAUGACGAGGCACUACGGUGCUGAAGCAACAAAUGCCCUGCUUCCAGGAAAAGCCUCUAAGCAUCAGGUAACAUCAAAUCGUACCCCAAACCGACACAGGUGGUCAGGUAGAGAAUACCAAGGCGCUUGAGAGAACUCGGGUGAAGGAACUAGGCAAAAUGGUGCCGUAACUUCGGGAGAAGGCACGCUGAUAUGUAGGUGAAGUCCCUUGCGGAUGGAGCUGAAAUCAGUCGAAGAUACCAGCUGGCUGCAACUGUUUAUUAAAAACACAGCACUGUGCAAACACGAAAGUGGACGUAUACGGUGUGACGCCUGCCCGGUGCCGGAAGGUUAAUUGAUGGGGUCAGCGCAAGCGAAGCUCUUGAUCGAAGCCCCGGUAAACGGCGGCCGUAACUAUAACGGUCCUAAGGUAGCGAAAUUCCUUGUCGGGUAAGUUCCGACCUGCACGAAUGGCGUAAUGAUGGCCAGGCUGUCUCCACCCGAGACUCAGUGAAAUUGAACUCGCUGUGAAGAUGCAGUGUACCCGCGGCAAGACGGAAAGACCCCGUGAACCUUUACUAUAGCUUGACACUGAACAUUGAGCCUUGAUGUGUAGGAUAGGUGGGAGGCUUGGAAGUGUGGACGCCAGUCUGCAUGGAGCCGACCUUGAAAUACCACCCUUUAAUGUUUGAUGUUCUAACGUUGACCCGUAAUCCGGGUUGCGGACAGUGUCUGGUGGGUAGUUUGACUGGGGCGGUCUCCUCCUAAAGAGUAACGGAGGAGCACGAAGGUUGGCUAAUCCUGGUCGGACAUCAGGAGGUUAGUGCAAUGGCAUAAGCCAGCUUGACUGCGAGCGUGACGGCGCGAGCAGGUGCGAAAGCAGGUCAUAGUGAUCCGGUGGUUCUGAAUGGAAGGGCCAUCGCUCAACGGAUAAAAGGUACUCCGGGGAUAACAGGCUGAUACCGCCCAAGAGUUCAUAUCGACGGCGGUGUUUGGCACCUCGAUGUCGGCUCAUCACAUCCUGGGGCUGAAGUAGGUCCCAAGGGUAUGGCUGUUCGCCAUUUAAAGUGGUACGCGAGCUGGGUUUAGAACGUCGUGAGACAGUUCGGUCCCUAUCUGCCGUGGGCGCUGGAGAACUGAGGGGGGCUGCUCCUAGUACGAGAGGACCGGAGUGGACGCAUCACUGGUGUUCGGGUUGUCAUGCCAAUGGCACUGCCCGGUAGCUAAAUGCGGAAGAGAUAAGUGCUGAAAGCAUCUAAGCACGAAACUUGCCCCGAGAUGAGUUCUCCCUGACCCUUUAAGGGUCCUGAAGGAACGUUGAAGACGACGACGUUGAUAGGCCGGGUGUGUAAGCGCAGCGAUGCGUUGAGCUAACCGGUACUAAUGAACCGUGAGGCUUAACCUUACAACGCCGAAGCUGUU
Molecule: ribosomal RNA, 2930 nt
Filed under: Escherichia coli
Lineage: Bacteria; Pseudomonadati; Pseudomonadota; Gammaproteobacteria; Enterobacterales; Enterobacteriaceae
Description: bacterial LSU rRNA
Rfam family: Bacterial large subunit ribosomal RNA
Source: RNAcentral